GUUUGAUAAUGACUUGUCCUAUGUUGAAGAGCUAGUGGAAAUAUUUGAUAAGUAGGUUCAAAAGCUCAUGUCAAAGGAUAUAGCUUCAGUAAAGGUUCAGUGACGGGGUAAGCUGGCCAAGGAGGCGACUUGGGAGACCGAUCGGGAUAUGUGCAGCCGAUACCCUCAUCUUUUUCUACUUCAGGUAUGUUCUCUAUGCUCGUUCGAGGACGAACAAAUGUUUAAGUAUAGGAGGAUGUGAUGACCCGACCGGUCAUCUUUUAGAAUUUAUUCCUCGUUCCCCUAUUAACUGCUUCCCCUAAGUUCAUUUCUGCUAUUUUGGGUUGGCAGGGUGUUCGUAAUAGAACUCGAAGUGUUUUGGGACAAUUAGUCCCUAAAUGAGAAUAGUAUGAAGACGACCUCGGAAUGGAAAACCGAUGGCUCCGUUACCUCCGUUAGGUGAUUUCGGGGUCGAGAGCGUGUCCAAAAUGUAUUUUGGAUGUCCGUAGCUGAUUUAGGCUAGAAAUGCCAAAAGUUAGAGUUUAGAAGUUUCCGGUCCAAUACUGAAUUUUUGAUACGAGGGUCGGAACGGGAUUAUGGAAGUUGUUGUAGCACCGUCAUGUCAUUUGGGACGUGCAUGCAAAAUUUCCAAUGAACGUGUUUUGGUUAGGUUUUGACUCGAACGUGAGUUUGGUUAAGUUUUGAAGUUUUUAAGUUCAUAUUAUUAUUUAAUUUGUGUUUCCGGUGUUGUUUUAGGUGGUUUAAGGAUUGCUACACGUUUUAAUGAUGUUAUGGGAUAUCUUUGUAGGUUUGGUUGAGGUCCCGGGAGGCCUCAGGAUGAUUUCAGAUGGUUGACGGAUGAAACUUCUAAAGUGUGCAGCUUCAGCCCUUCAGCCUUCUGGUAUUUUCGCUUCUGCAGCUUGGGGACCGCAGAAGCGGAGCCACCGAAGCAUCUUAGGUGCCUCAAAUGCGAUUUUGGGGGCUCAAGGCCAGGAGUCGAAAAAGCUGUCCUCUCUCCGCAAAGGCAAAACCGCAAAAACCGUUAAUUGUCCGCAGGAGCGGACUCAGGCCUUUAAGUGAAACCACAGAAGAGGUUAAUUUUCGGCAGAAGCGGGACCACAGAAGCGGUCCCUGGUCGAAAAAGCGGAAAUCCCUGUUCAGAAAUAGUAAAAUCGAGGGUUAAGAUUCAAAAGUUGAAAAAUCAAUUGAGAGCUCGAGAGAAGGUGAUUUUUAGCGAGUAUUGAAGAGAAGACUAUUGGAUAAUGAUUCCUUACUUCUCUAUGACUAAAACCCACUAAUCUAAUCUCAAAUUCAAGCUUUAAUUUCGAAUUUUAAAUGAAAAUUGGGGUAAAGUUCUUAGGCCUUACUUUGAUUAUUUGAAGGGGCAUUUGACGUCCGAUUAGGGAGAAUUUUAUAUUUUUAGAUUCGUGAGAGUACGAUGUUUCUAAAUAUAUGAAAAUUAUUCAAUUUCGAGACGUUUGCUUGGGGGGAACUUUGGUCAUUUUAUCUAUUUUCGCGCUUUUACUUUGAUUUUAAUAGUUGAAUUAGUUACUUGUGAUGUUAUUAAUAAUAUGUAUUUGGUUUGAAUAGAUUUGGGCCACUCGGAGUCGGAUACUCGUGGCAAGGGCAUUGUUAUUUUGUACCAAUUCGAGGUAAGUGGCUUGUCUAACUUUGUGUGGGGGACCUCUCCCCUUAGGAUAUCCUUGCUAUUGUUUAAAUGCCUUGUGCGCGAGGUGACGAGCCUGUAGUUGUGCUAGUUGUAGAAAUUCAUCGUACUUGGCUUAUUUAGACUGUGUAUUAUUCACAUGUUUAACAAUCAAAAAUGCAAUUUUACUUGUUUUAGCUUAGGGGAAGCAUGUUAGUAACUUAUUUGCUCCACUUGACUAAAUUGCAAUAUCUGUUUUUCUUAUGAAUCAUGCUAGACUUUAAAUUUUACUUGUUGGCCGCACUUAACUACUUUUUGUUAAAUAUUGGUUUGUUAUAGUGUGUUUACUACUGGGACUACGAGAUGGCAUCCCGGGAGCUUCCCCUGUUCGUACUUUGUUACGAGAUUUGGAAGUGCGGGAUACCAAGAGAUCCCCGACACAGGAUUGAUUAACUGGCCGACACUAAUAGAUCCCCAGCGUAGAACUGAUUAACUAAUGGAUACUAAGAGAUCCUCGGGAUAGUUGGAUAUCUCUUGUUUAUACGAUGACGAUACUAGGAGAUCCUAGGGAUACUUGGAGAUCCCUUAGGUAUAUAAUCGAGAUACCAGAAGAUCCUCGGAAUAUCAGGAGGUCCCCGAUGAUAAAUAGCCUGUAGUGAUCGUACUUAUAUUGUAGAUUCGCAUUUGUAGCCUGUUCAGUUUUACUUACUAUUUUUUUUAAAUACUCGAGCUUUACCGUAUUUCCUUCUGUCUAUUCAUUUUAUAUUUAUUCUUUUGUAUACAUCAGUAGGCCUCGACCUUCCUCGUCACUACCUCACCGAGGUUAGGCUUGGCAGUUACUUUGUUGUGCAUAUCCAGGUACAUCUGAGCAGGCAUACCGCCAGUAGCUGUCAGGGAGAAUUUCACUUGGAGUCUUGAGGUAUGCAUCUGCCGCGUCAGCAGAUCCGAAGAGUCUCCUUCUAUUAUACUUUUUACUUAGUAGUUUCAUUCAUGUAUUCGGUUGUUGUAGACAUUUUCGGGUAUUAGAGCUGUAUGUUAUGUUUUUUUACUCUUAGCUGUGUGGCACGUGGGUUUCCGG
RNAcentral lists this long non-coding RNA (2702 nucleotides) under Nicotiana benthamiana. RNAcentral's name for it is "long non-coding RNA (NBEN_LNC016647)". The record is from RNAcentral. Lineage: Eukaryota; Viridiplantae; Streptophyta; Magnoliopsida; Solanales; Solanaceae.